RNAcentral lists this non-coding RNA (48 nucleotides) under Schistosoma bovis. Lineage: Eukaryota; Metazoa; Platyhelminthes; Trematoda; Strigeidida; Schistosomatidae. The record is from RNAcentral. RNAcentral also lists the same sequence under 1 other name.
AUCCAGGUGACGAGUCCGAAAUGGGACGAAACAUGCGUCAGACCGGAU